UCACACCAAGGUGCUCUCUGAUGGCUGCAUUACUCAUUUGAUCACUGAGGCAAUUCCCACUUUUAAAUCUGCAGUGGAGAUUUAACUUUUGAAAUAUCAGUUCACAAUUGACUCAGAUAGCCUUUAUUCUUACCUCUAAAUUAUCUGCCUAUCUAUCUAUCAAUCAAUCAAUCUAUUUAUCUGCUUGAUAUUCAAUCAAUGACUAAUAGAACAAUGAAUUUAUGUCUACAGUAACUGAAUUUUAUAAUGAUAUUUAAAGAAAGUAUAGAAGGGAAUCCUCUGAAACCUCUGGAUAAGGAUAAGAUUAUUGCAAUCUGAAAUUGCAUUUGUAAAAUAGAGCAUCACUAGCUAUCAUCGCCAGCUAUCAUUACUAGAUAUCAUUGUAAAUACCAUCACUAAAUAUCAUCGC
RNAcentral lists this small RNA (409 nucleotides) under Histoplasma capsulatum. RNAcentral describes it as "hypothetical RNA". RNAcentral also lists the same sequence under 1 other name. Lineage: Eukaryota; Fungi; Ascomycota; Eurotiomycetes; Onygenales; Ajellomycetaceae. The record is from RNAcentral.